RNAcentral lists this ribosomal RNA (253 nucleotides) under uncultured bacterium. Its description in RNAcentral is "partial 16S ribosomal RNA". It matches the Rfam family "Bacterial small subunit ribosomal RNA", at positions 524 to 776 of the family's 1533-position model. The record is from RNAcentral.
UACGUAGGGUGCAAGCGUUAUCCGGAGUUACUGGGCGUAAAGGGCGUGUAGGCGGAUCGGUAAGUCUACUCUGAAAGCUCCUGGCUAAACUGGGAGCGGCGAGUGGAGACUGUCGGUCUAGAGUGAGGAAGAGGAAAGUGGAAUUCCUCGUGUAGUGGUGAAAUGCGUAGAGAUGCGGAGGAACACCAGUGGCGAAAGCGGCUUUCUGGUCCUGAACUGACGCUGAGGCGCGAAAGCAUGGGGAGCGAACGGG